Molecule: long non-coding RNA, 624 nt
Filed under: Homo sapiens (human)
Lineage: Eukaryota; Metazoa; Chordata; Mammalia; Primates; Hominidae
Description: HSALNT0393848
Source: RNAcentral
UUAAAAACGGGAGUUUUUCUGCACAGCUCUCUCUUUGCCUGCUGCCAUCCGCAAAAGAUGUGACUUGCUUCGCCUUGCCUUCCGCCAUGAUUGUGAGGCUUCCCCAGCCACGUGGAACUGCACAUACCCCGCUGUCCCCCUAAAGAAUGUCUGCUCUGUGGACCUGCAGAUGUACAAAGAGGAUGACAAUUAUUAUGUGAUGUGUUGAAAUAAACAGUGUUCUGGAAGCUUAGAGAAAGGAAUAAUUAACUCAAUGAAGAGGAAGCCUUUACAGAGGUGGCAACAUCAGAAUGAGGUGCACAGCUUGUGAAAGAAGAUGUGGUGAAGCCUCUUGCUUAGUGCUCCUCACACUGGAUCUGACCGCUGACCACUCGGAUGAACUAGAAACCCAGAGCUGAGAGGAGCGGGGAAGAGGCAGCGCUCACUGCAAGGCCAUGCUCUGCCUUCCCUCCAACAACAGGCUGUUUCCUUCACCUCCAAAGUUCCUUUGUGCCCACAAGCAAAGUAGAGAUGCUACCUAGUGCAGUAUGGCAGCACUCCCUAGCAGACCAUUUAAUUCCUGGUCCCCAAAGCAUUGGACCCAAAUGCUUAAAAAAGCAUUCUGCAAUUCACAAACUCAGAUGG